GAUGAACGCUGGCGGCGUGCCUAAUACAUGCAAGUCGAGCGAACAGCCGCGGAGUUCGCUCCUUUGACGUAAGCGGCGGACGAGUGAGUAAGACGCAGGUAACUUACCUAUAUGACAGGGAUAAAUUCGGGAAACCGGAGCCAAUUCCUGCCAAAAUUUCGAAGCGCUCGCUUGAUUAGUGAAAGAAGGGUUUGCCAUGCUUUAUCGAUGGACCUGAGCCGCGUUAGCUAGUUGGUAAGGUAAGGGCUUACCAAGGCAAGGAUGCGUAGCCGACCUGAGAGGGUGAUCGGCCACACUGGAACUGAGACACGGUCCAGACUCCUACGGGAGGCAGCAGUAGGGAAUCUUCCGCAAUGGGCGAAAGCCUGACGGAGCAACGCCGCGUGAGUGAUGAAGGUCUUCGGAUCGUAAAGCUCUGUUAUUAGGGAAGAACAAAGGUGUGAGUAACUGUGAACGGCGUGACGGUACCUAAUCAGAAAGCCACGGCUAACUACGUG
RNAcentral lists this ribosomal RNA (497 nucleotides) under uncultured bacterium. RNAcentral describes it as "partial 16S ribosomal RNA". It matches the Rfam family "Bacterial small subunit ribosomal RNA", at positions 28 to 507 of the family's 1533-position model. The record is from RNAcentral.